UACGAAGGGUGCAAGCGUUGUUCGGAAUUAUUGGGCGUAAAGCGCACGUAGGCGGCCUUGUAAGUCUCACUGUGAAAGUCCGGGGCUCAACCCCGGGAUGCCAGGGGAUACUGCGAGGCUGGAGACAAGUAGAGGUUGGUAGAAUUCCGGGUGUAGCGGUGGAAUGCGUAGAGAUCCGGAGGAAUACCAGAGGCGAAGGCGGCCAACUGGGCUUGUUCUGACGCUGAGGUGCGAAAGCGUGGGGAGCGAACAGG
This 254-nucleotide ribosomal RNA is filed under the name uncultured bacterium. Its description in RNAcentral is "partial 16S ribosomal RNA". It matches the Rfam family "Bacterial small subunit ribosomal RNA", at positions 524 to 776 of the family's 1533-position model. The record is from RNAcentral.